Molecule: RNA transcript, 2216 nt
Organism: Nyctereutes procyonoides (raccoon dog)
Lineage: Eukaryota; Metazoa; Chordata; Mammalia; Carnivora; Canidae
Gene: NPM2
Gene name: nucleophosmin/nucleoplasmin 2
Exons: 6
Source: RefSeq, a predicted model, not a curated record
CCGGGCAGCCGGCGGGGACGGGAUGGCGCCGCCGACGGCCGCAGGAGGGCCCCUCCUUUAAGGCUGGGGAGGCGCCCCUGCCGCGCCCCGCGGGCCUCCUGACAGCCGACGGGACCCGGCCGCUUUCCAGCCCCCGCGACCUCGGCGCCCAGCGCCCCGCCUCCCGCCGGCCAGGGGCUCGGGAUCCGGGGUGGGGGGGCGAUGCGGGGCGAGCGGGGCUGGGGGCCCGGCUCGGCUCACCGCGGACGCCCCUCCCGCACAGCCGCCGCGCCCCCCGCGCCCCCCGCGCCCCGCGGCAUGAACCGCAGCAGCAGCAGCAGCAGCGCUGCCGAGAAGGCGCUCGCAGCCGUGCUCUGGGGCUGUGAGCUAAACCAGGAGAAGCGGACCUGGACGGUCAAACCCCAGAAGGAGGGCAAGCAGGACUCGAAGCUGUUGCUCAGUACGAUUUGCCUGGGGGAGAAAGCCAAAGAAGAGAUGAACCUGGUGGAAAUCCUGCCCCCGGCCAGCCCGGACGACAAACAGGCCAAGCCCAUCACCAUCGCCUCGCUCCAGGCCUCCGUGCUACCCAUGGUCGUCAUGAUGGGAUUGGAGCUUUCUCCUCCAGUUACUUUCCAGCUCCGGGCUGGCUCUGGACCUGUGUUCCUCAGUGGCCAGGAAUGUUACAUAGACACUGCAGACGUAUCCUGGGAGGAAGAGGAGGAGGACCCCGAGGAGGAGGAGGAAGAGGAGGAGGAAAGUCACAGUGAUGAGGUUGAUGAUGACGAUGAUGAUGACGAUGAUGUAGAUGUGUCCCUAGAGGAGACCCCUGUUAAACAAGUCAAGAGGCUGGCGUCCCAGAAGCAGACAAGUGUUGCCAAGGUGAGGGAAGGGACCCCCAGAGGCUCCUCAGAAACCUGGGCCAGCCCUGCCGAGUGGAUUGUGCCUGAGUGUGUGAAGCCUGGACGGGACCCGCCAGGGGCAUCUGCUCAGCCCUGGGCCCACCCUAACCCCCUGACCCUCUAACCCUCCCAAUAACACUUGUGUUUGGUUCCCAGAAAAAAAGGAUGGAAAAAGAAGAGGAGGCAGUGAGGUAACUCUUUCCAUCUACUAACUUGGCCGACACCUUGUAGCGGGGGUGUAUGGGGCUACAAAGAGCCUGGCGUGUGUGCACACGGGUAUGAGUGCCCAGGUGUGCUGCCACUGCUGGCUGGCAUGACCUUUUUUGAAAAGCAUUAAAAUAUUCUUACCUUCUGCCCUAAUUCCACUUAUGCCACUUCCUUCCGAAGGAUGCCGUCCAAAAUAGGGGUAAAAUGAUAUGCACUAAGAAACUUAUCACUGCAUUAUUCAAGUAAUGGUGAAAAAUGGAAGCAUUCUAAAUAUCUACCAAUAUAGUAGCUGAUGGAGCCAUGUCACGUGUUCCCAAUGGAAUGGGACAUAAUGCCUAUGAGAACAUGGCAUCCUGGAAAGUGCUUAUAGAAUUUUUUAAAAAAACAGGAUAUUAAGUCAUUUUCAUGUUGUUUCACAUGUUUUUAGAAGAAAACAAAGCAAAAAGCCCUCAAAGGAAACACACCAAAAGGUUGGAACUGGUAGGAAGUAGAGAAAAUAAGUAAUCCCCAUUUGCUGUAUUUUGUGCAAUGUAGUUAAACAUUACUUUUGCCAUGAAAAAGACCUAUUUGUGAUCAGUAAAAGAAGGCAGAUGGAAGCCUGAGAAGAAAAGGACAUCUUGUUUAAAACAGAGAGCGAAAUAAAUAAAUAAAUAAACAAACAAACAAACAGCGGUCUACAGCAGGUGACAGGUGGGGUGGUGAAUUCUGCAGCUUCCAGCUCCCCAGGCCGCAACCCCCUGCUCUCAGCAUGAGCAUUAGGAGGGUCUGGGCUACUGGGGUCCGGCUGAGCUCUCUCUCUUUCCCACCCUCAUCCCCUGUCCCUGCCCUGCCCCACCCCUUCCAGACCCAGGCUUAAAGACCAGAGUCCUGUGAAAAAGGCCAAACCCACACUCAAACCUAAAAAGCCAGGAUCCAAGAAAUGAGGAGCCAGGAGUGGCCUGGCUGCAGCGACCCAGGGAGAGCUGGCUAGCUGUGACCCCAGGUCUCCCCCACCCAGCCUCUCUCCACCUGAGUCUGAAUGGGAUGGAGCUGCUGAGGCCAACACGAGAGGCCCUCGCCCCAACUCUCAAGUGUUCAGCAGGACCUGGAGCUCCAACCUCAGGGCCAUUAAUAAAGUUUGCUUUGCCAGGA